CCUACGGGAGGCAGCAGUGGGGAAUUUUGGACAAUGGGCGAAAGCCUGAUCCAGCAAUGCCGCGUGAGUGAAGAAGGCCUUCGGGUUGUAAAGCUCUUUUGUCAGGGAAGAAACGGUGAGGGCUAAUAUCCCUUGCUAAUGACGGUACCUGAAGAAUAAGCACCGGCUAACUACGUGCCAGCAGCCGCGGUAAUACGUAGGGUGCAAGCGUUAAUCGGAAUUACUGGGCGUAAAGCGUGCGCAGGCGGUUUUGUAAGUCUGUCGUGAAAUCCCCGGGCUCAACCUGGGAAUUGCGAUGGAGACUGCAAGGCUAGAAUCUGGCAGAGGGGGGUAGAAUUCCACGUGUAGCAGUGAAAUGCGUAGAGAUGUGGAGGAACACCGAUGGCGAAGGCAGCCCCCUGGGUCAAGAUUGACGCUCAUGCACGAAAGCGUGGGGAGCAAACAGGAUUAGAUACCCUGGUAGUCCACGCCCUAAACGAUGUCUACUAGUUGUCGGGUUUUAAUUAACUUGGUAACGCAGCUAACGCGUGAAGUAGACCGCCUGGGGAGUACGGUCGCAAGAUUAAAACUCAAAGGAAUUGACGG
Molecule: ribosomal RNA, 585 nt
Filed under: uncultured bacterium
Lineage: Bacteria
Description: bacterial SSU rRNA
Rfam family: Bacterial small subunit ribosomal RNA
Source: RNAcentral